Molecule: ribosomal RNA, 239 nt
Filed under: Collinsella sp. AM38-1BH
Lineage: Bacteria; Bacillati; Actinomycetota; Coriobacteriia; Coriobacteriales; Coriobacteriaceae
Description: partial 23S ribosomal RNA
Rfam family: Bacterial large subunit ribosomal RNA
Source: RNAcentral
GCAAGAUACCACGGGCGCACGGCGGAUGCCUUGGCACAGGGAGCCGAUGAAGGACGCGGCAAGCUGCGAUAAUCCCCGGCGAGGAGCACACAUCCUUCGACCCGGGGGUCUCCGAAUGGGCGAACCCAUCCACAGCAGUGUGGAUAUCCCCACCCCGAACACAUAGGGGCGGGGAGGACGACCCGGGGAACUGAAACAUCUAAGUACCCGGAGGAGAGGAAAUCAAUCUCGAGACUCCC